Molecule: ribosomal RNA, 375 nt
Filed under: uncultured bacterium
Lineage: Bacteria
Description: bacterial SSU rRNA
Rfam family: Bacterial small subunit ribosomal RNA
Source: RNAcentral
AACGUAGGUGGCAAGCGUUGUCCGGAAUUACUGGGUGUAAAGGGAGCGCAGGCGGGACGGUAAGUUGAAUGUGAAAACUAUGGGCUCAACCCAUAGAUUGCGUUCAAAACUAUCGUUCUUGAGUGAUGUAGAGGCAGGCGGAAUUCCCGGUGUAGCGGUGGAAUGCGUAGAUAUCGGGAGGAACACCAGUGGCGAAGGCGGCCUGCUGGGCAUUAACUGACGCUGAGGCUCGAAAGUGUGGGGAGCAAACAGGAUUAGAUACCCUGGUAGUCCACACCGUAAACGAUGAUUACUAGGUGUGGGGGGAUAGACCCCCUCCGUGCCGCAGCAAACGCAAUAAGUAAUCCACCUGGGGAGUACGGCCGCAAGGCUGAA